RNAcentral lists this ribosomal RNA (501 nucleotides) under uncultured bacterium. RNAcentral describes it as "partial 16S ribosomal RNA". It matches the Rfam family "Bacterial small subunit ribosomal RNA", at positions 30 to 523 of the family's 1533-position model. The record is from RNAcentral.
AUUGAACGUUGGCGGCAGGCUUAACACAUGCAAGUCGAGCGGAGAUGAGGUGCUUGCACCUUAUCUUAGCGGCGGACGGGUGAGUAAUGCUUAGGAAUCUGCCUAUUAGUGGGGGACAACAUUCCGAAAGGAAUGCUAAUACCGCAUACGUCCUACGGGAGAAAGCAGGGGAUCUUCGGACCUUGCGCUAAUAGAUGAGCCUAAGUCGGAUUAGCUAGUUGGUGGGGUAAAGGCCUACCAAGGCGACGAUCUGUAGCGGGUCUGAGAGGAUGAUCCGCCACACUGGGACUGAGACACGGCCCAGACUCCUACGGGAGGCAGUAGUGGGGAAUAUUGGACAAUGGGCGGAAGCCUGAUCCAGCCAUGCCGCGUGUGUGAAGAAGGCCUUUUGGUUGUAAAGCACUUUAAGCGAGGAGGAGGCUACUUAGAUUAAUACUCUGGGAUAGUGGACGUUACUCGCAGAAUAAGCACCGGCUAACUCUGUGCCAGCCGCCGCAGUAA